GAUGAACGGCUGGCGGCGUGCCUAACACAUGCAAGUCGAACGGACCUUGCUCAACAGAGGUACCUGUACCGAAGGAGAGCGCUGGUUAGUGGCGGACGGGUGAGUAACACGUGGGUAAUUAACCUUCCGGACCGGGAUAACAUCGGGAAACUGGUGCUAAUACCGGAUACGAUUCACGGGCGGCAUCGCCUGUGGAUGAAAAGAGGCCUCUCGAAGAAGCUCCUGCUGGAAGACAAGCCCGCGGCUGAUUAGCUAGUUGGUAAGGUAACGGCUUACCAAGGCAACGAUCAGUAGCCGGCCUGAGAGGGUGAACGGCCACACUGGGACUGAGACACGGCCCAGACUCCUACGGGAGGCAGCAGUGGGGAAUUUUGGACAAUGGGCGAAAGCCUGAUCCAGCGACGCCGCGUGGAGGAAGAAGUCCUUCGGGAUGUAAACUCAUGAAGCUAACGAAUAAGACGGAAGGGGAACCUUCCGGGAGAAGGUAAUUAGUGAAAAGCCCCGGCUAACUACGUG
RNAcentral lists this ribosomal RNA (516 nucleotides) under uncultured bacterium. RNAcentral describes it as "bacterial SSU rRNA". It matches the Rfam family "Bacterial small subunit ribosomal RNA", at positions 35 to 507 of the family's 1533-position model. The record is from RNAcentral.